GUGUCAGCCGCCGCGGUAAUACGGAGGGUGCGAGCGUUAAUCGGAAUUACUGGGCGUAAAGGGCGCGUAGGCGGUCGCGCAAGUCGGGUGUGAAAGCCCCGGGCUCAACCUGGGAAUUGCAUUCGAUACUGCGUAACUAGAGUCUGGUAGAGGGAAGCGGAAUUCCGCAUGUAGCGGUGAAAUGCGUAGAUAUGCGGAGGAACACCAGUGGCGAAGGCGGCUUCCUGGACCAAGACUGACGCUGAGGCGCGAAAGCGUGGGGAGCAAACAGGAUUAGAUACCCUGGUAGUCCACGCCCUAAACGAUGAGGACUAGACGUUGGGGGGAUAAAACCCUUUAGUGUCGCAGCUAACGCGUGAAGUCCUCCGCCUGGGGAGUACGGCCGCAAGGUUGAAACUCAAGGGAAUUGGCGG
Molecule: ribosomal RNA, 413 nt
Filed under: uncultured bacterium
Lineage: Bacteria
Description: bacterial SSU rRNA
Rfam family: Bacterial small subunit ribosomal RNA
Source: RNAcentral